RNAcentral lists this ribosomal RNA (253 nucleotides) under uncultured bacterium. RNAcentral describes it as "partial 16S ribosomal RNA". It matches the Rfam family "Bacterial small subunit ribosomal RNA", at positions 524 to 776 of the family's 1533-position model. The record is from RNAcentral.
AACGUAGGGGGCGAGCGUUACUCGGAAUGACUGGGCGUAAAGGGUGUGUAGGCGGCUUCCUAAGUCCGAUGUGAAAGCCCUAGACUCAAUCUAGGAACUGCAUCGGAUACUGGGUUGCUAGAGUGCCAGAGGGGGGAACGGAAUUCCCGGUGUAGAGGUGAAAUUCGUAGAUAUCGGGAGGAACACCGAAGGCGAAGGCGGUUCCCUGGCUGGUUACUGACGCUGAGACACGAAAGCGUGGGGAGCAAACAGG